AAUUUUCGGCAAUGGGGGCAACCCUGACCGAGCGACGCCGCGUGAGUGAAGAAGGUCUUCGGAUUGUAAAGCCCUGUCGUAAGGGAAGAACCGUACCAGUAGGGAAUGACUGGUACCUGACGGUACCUUACCAGCAAGCCACCGCUAACUACGUUCCAGCAGCCGCGGUAAUACGUAGGUGGCAAGCUUUAUCCGAAAUUAUUGGGCGUAAAGGGAGCGCAGGCGGCUUAUUAAGUCUGAGGUUAAAGUUCGGGGCUCAACCCCGUGGUGCCUUAGAGACUGGUAGGCUAGAGUGCAGGAGAGGUGAGUGGAAUUCAAUGUGUAGCGGUAAAAUGCGUAGAUAUAUGGAGGAACACCAGUGGCGAAGGAGGCUCACUGGCCUGUAACUGACGCUGAGGAUCGAAAGCGUGGGGAGCAAAU
This 420-nucleotide ribosomal RNA is filed under the name uncultured bacterium. Its description in RNAcentral is "partial 16S ribosomal RNA". It matches the Rfam family "Bacterial small subunit ribosomal RNA", at positions 360 to 773 of the family's 1533-position model. The record is from RNAcentral.